This 21-nucleotide non-coding RNA is filed under the name Caenorhabditis elegans. The record is from RNAcentral. Lineage: Eukaryota; Metazoa; Nematoda; Chromadorea; Rhabditida; Rhabditidae.
UUAAAUUGAUUUCAGUACUUG